Long non-coding RNA from Quercus robur (English oak), 861 nucleotides. RefSeq lists it as uncharacterized. The transcript has 5 exons. The record is from RefSeq and is a predicted model, not a curated record. Lineage: Eukaryota; Viridiplantae; Streptophyta; Magnoliopsida; Fagales; Fagaceae.
CUUCUCAAAAAAAAAAAAAAAAGAUUUCAAGCGCUCCGAUCUACGCUCCAUCCGAUCUACGAUCUGACCCCUCAUCACCUCCGUCCGAUCUGACCCCUCAUCACCUCCGUCCGAUCUGACCCCUCAUACGCUCCAUCCGAUCUACUCUCCAUCCGAUCUGACCCCUCAUCACCUCCGUCCGAUCUGACCCCUCAUCACCCUCCAUCUCCGACCUCAACCCUCACCCUUCAUCCGAUCUCAACCCUCACCCUCCAUCCGAUCUCAACCUCUUUGUCCGUCACCCUCCAUCCGAUCUAAAUUUCACCCAUAACAAAACUCCGCCGACCCCGACGCCGAGAGAAACCCAUAACAAAACUCCGCCGACCCCGACGCCGAGAGACCAGCCCAGCGCCGACGACCCCAACGCUGACAAGGCCGAACUCUCAUACCCAUCGGCGACCCAUACCCAACGCCGCCGAGCCCAUCGCCGACAAAGCGGUACAAGAUGCACCGUUGCCACAGAUAUCCUCUUGCUACUUGAGGGUUAAGUACUUGGAUCACAACCAGUUGACAGGGAGAAUUGACGCAGUCUUCUAGAAACAUCCUUUCUUGAAAGAAUUGUGCUAUCAGUUCCGGCUGGCUGGUUCAGUGUAGACAUCUGCGAAGAUAAAUUUUCAGCACAUUUCUGGUGCUGUUAUGAUAUACUAAAGGUGCAAACAGUAAACAAGCCGUGUGCAAAUUUCAUCCAGACUGGGCAUCAAAAACUGACAUUCGCUACCAGGUUGAAGCUGAACCAUAAUUUAUGCUUAUUUCCCGUACAAAGAGAAAUAUUUUGCAACUUCAUGUCACUAAAUAGUAUGCUGAUGGAAUGAUUUUUAUUUU